Molecule: ribosomal RNA, 392 nt
Filed under: uncultured bacterium
Lineage: Bacteria
Description: bacterial SSU rRNA
Rfam family: Bacterial small subunit ribosomal RNA
Source: RNAcentral
CCCUUCGGGGUACUCGAGUGGCGAACGGGUGAGUAACACGUGGGUGAUCUGCCCCUGACUUUGGGAUAAGCCUGGGAAACUGGGUCUAAUACCGGAUAUUACCUUCCACUGCAUGGUGGGGGGUGGAAAGCUUUUGCGGUUAGGGAUGGGCCCGCGGCCUAUCAGCUUGUUGGUGGGGUAAUGGCCUACCAAGGCGACGACGGGUAGCCGACCUGAGAGGGUGAUCGGCCACACUGGGACUGAGACACGGCCCAGACUCCUACGGGAGGCAGCAGUGGGGAAUAUUGCACAAUGGGCGGAAGCCUGAUGCAGCGACGCCGCGUGAGGGAUGACGGCUUCGGGUUGUAAACCUCUUUCGCCGGGGACGAAGCUUUCGGGGUGACGGUACUUGG